RNAcentral lists this ribosomal RNA (484 nucleotides) under uncultured bacterium. RNAcentral describes it as "partial 16S ribosomal RNA". It matches the Rfam family "Bacterial small subunit ribosomal RNA", at positions 30 to 507 of the family's 1533-position model. The record is from RNAcentral.
AUUGAACGCUGGCGGCAGGCCUAACACAUGCAAGUCGAGCGGAUGAAGGUGGCUUGUUCCUUGAUUCAGCGGCGGACGGGUGAGUAAUGCCUAGGAAUCUGCCACGUGGUCGUGGAUAACGUACGGAAACGAGCGCUAAUACCGCAUACGUCCUGCGGGAGAAACUGGGCGUUCUUCGGACAUCACGCUAUCAGAUGAGCCUUGUGCGGAUUAGCUAGUUGGUGGGUUAAAGGCCUACCAAGGCUUCGAGCCGUACCUGGCUUGAGAGGUGGACCAGUCAAACGGGAACGGGGACACGGCCCAGACUCUUACGGGAGGAGGCAGUGGGGAAUAUUGGACAAGGGGCGAAGUCCGGAUCCAGCACGGCCGCGUGUGGGAAGCAGGUUUUGGGAUGUUAAAGCAUGUUAAGCGGGGAGAAAGGGCAGUAAGUUAAUACCUUGCUGGUUUGACGUUACCAACAGAAUAAGCACCGGCUAACUUCGUG